CCCAAUUCAUCACAAAUCUGAAUAUUCUCAACUUCAACUAGAAAAUAAUGAAUUUAGCCACUCAUGGUGACUAAAAUACACAAAAAUAAAGAAGAAAAGAAAGAAGGGAAGUUUCUGCUGUGUUGCUGGAGAAUUUCCGAAGAUGGCAGAUGCAGAAAGAGAUCUCCUUUGCUGGUUUGGAGGUUGCUCUUUUAUAGUUGGAGAAUUUCAUCCAUCUAGGGUUUUGAAAUCCCUUCUUGACUUGGUUUUUGAUUCCUCUUUGGAUGUGGAUUUUAAU
Molecule: long non-coding RNA, 277 nt
Filed under: Manihot esculenta (cassava)
Lineage: Eukaryota; Viridiplantae; Streptophyta; Magnoliopsida; Malpighiales; Euphorbiaceae
Description: long non-coding RNA (MESC_LNC007515)
Source: RNAcentral